Long non-coding RNA from Neofelis nebulosa (Clouded leopard), 700 nucleotides. RefSeq lists it as uncharacterized. The record is from RefSeq and is a predicted model, not a curated record. NCBI's taxonomy places the organism in Eukaryota, Metazoa, Chordata, Mammalia, Carnivora, Felidae. The transcript has 5 exons.
AAUAAAAUAUAUUGGUACACUUCCAGGUACUAUGGCUGCAUUGCAAAUUACGCCCACAAGGUAGUGGUAAAAAACAACCAUUUAUUAUGCUGACGGAUUCUAUGCGUCAGGAAUUGAGAUAGCACAGCAGGUAUGACUUUUUUUCUGCUCCCUUAUGCAUAGGGCCUCAACUGGAAGGCUGAAGAUGGGAAUCCUCUGAAAAGUUUUCACUUUCAUGUUGGUGAUUGAUACUGGCUGGAGGCUGCGGGCUGGAGACCUCAGCUCAACUCCCUGUAGACCUCUGCAGGUGGUCUCUUAAUGUGGACUUGGUUGGGCUCCUCACAGCAUGAGGGUUAGGUUCUAAGGAUGAAAGAAAGGGGAUACAUCGAAUUUGAUGUCUAUAGAAUUUAAUCAAAGGAUGAAUAUAAGGAUGUUGUUUUACCACCUGCAAUUCUGGAACACUACGAGAUUCCCAGUGGGGAGCCCAAUGCAGAGCUUGAACUCACAACCUUGAGGUCAAGAGUCGGAAGCUUAACUGACUGAGCCACCCAGAACUCAGAAGUUAUUGCCCAUGUUGUGCCCGGCAUGUAUCUAUGAAGAUUUGCAUGCUUCUUUUUCUACAUGGAUCUUCCCUGCCAAAGCUUUUUCGGAACCUUGGGAGAACCCAACUACUUGAAGAGAAAACACAGGUACGCUCAAAAAUAGCUACACUCCAUGCACU